Molecule: unclassified non-coding RNA, 369 nt
Filed under: Hevea brasiliensis (rubber tree)
Lineage: Eukaryota; Viridiplantae; Streptophyta; Magnoliopsida; Malpighiales; Euphorbiaceae
Source: RNAcentral
GGGAGAUGUUUUCAUGGGUCGCUACCAUACAGUGUUUGACUAUGAGAAAAUGAGAGUUGGCUUUGCGGAAGCAGCUUAAGCGCCUCAACAUCUCUGUGUUGUGACCCGAUUAGUAUCACGUUGUCAUUUAAACUAGAAAAUUGUCUGCACUUGUAAAUAAAUAACUGAUGCUUGAAUCUUUUUGCUGGAUUUUUUAACAGCUGUUGUGUUAUGACAGUAAUUUGCCCGUCUAUCGUAAUUUCUGGUUAAUUUGUAAUACUAAUUACGCAACGUUUUGGUUUGUGCUAGAAGAAAAUUACUCAUCAAUAUCUACAUCGUUUAAGUACUUUUUGAAGAUUUAGAUGAAAAUAGAUUCAGUGUAUUGUUGUA